RNAcentral lists this small nuclear RNA (164 nucleotides) under Carassius auratus (goldfish). RNAcentral's name for it is "U1 spliceosomal RNA (ENSCARG00000026029.1)". It matches the Rfam family "U1 spliceosomal RNA". Rfam says of the family: U1 is a small nuclear RNA (snRNA) component of the spliceosome (involved in pre-mRNA splicing). Lineage: Eukaryota; Metazoa; Chordata; Actinopteri; Cypriniformes; Cyprinidae. The record is from Rfam by way of RNAcentral.
AUACUUACCUGGCAGGGGAGACACCAUGAUCAAGAAGGCGGUUCACCCAGGCGAGGCUUGUCCAUUGCACUCCGGCCAUGCUGACCCUGCGAAUUCCCCAAAUGCGGGAAUCUCGACUGCAUAAUUUUAUGGUAGUGGGGGACUGCGUUCGCCGCUCUCCCUGA